GACAGAGGUGCCAAGCGUUAGGCGGAAUCACUGGGCUUAAAGCGUGUGUAGGUGGACUGGUAAGUACCUUGUGAAAUCCCACGGCUUAACCGUGGAACUGCUGGGUAUACUGCUGGUCUUGAGCCAUCUAGGGGUUGCCGGAACAAACGGUGGAGCGGUGAAAUGCGUAGAUAUCGUUUGGAACGCCAAUGGUGAAAACAGGCAACUAGGGAUGUGCUGACACUGAGACACGAAAGCCAGGGGAGCGAACGGGAUUAGAUACCCCGGUAGUCCUGGCCGUAAACGAUGUCCACUAGAUCGUGGCACCUCUGACGGUGUCAUGGUCGAAGCAAAAGUGCUAAGUGGACCGCCUGGGAAGUACGGUCGCAAGGCUAAA
RNAcentral lists this ribosomal RNA (376 nucleotides) under uncultured bacterium. Its description in RNAcentral is "bacterial SSU rRNA". It matches the Rfam family "Bacterial small subunit ribosomal RNA", at positions 524 to 898 of the family's 1533-position model. The record is from RNAcentral.